UCGGGAAUUUUGGGCAAUGGGGGAAACCCUGACCCAGCAACGCCGCGUGAAGGAUGAAGUAUUUCGGUAUGUAAACUUCGAAAGAAUAGGAAGAAUAAAUGACGGUACUAUUUAUAAGGUCCGGCUAACUACGUGCCAGCAGCCGCGGUAAUACGUAGGGACCAAGCGUUGUUCGGAUUUACUGGGCGUAAAGGGCGCGUAGGCGGCAUGACAAGUCACUUGUGAAAUCUCUGGGCUUAACCCAGAACGGCCAAGUGAUACUGUCGCGCUAGAGUGCAGAAGGGGCAAUCGGAAUUCUUGGUGUAGCGGUGAAAUGCGUAGAUAUCAAGAGGAACACCUGAGGUGAAGACGGGUUGCUGGGCUGACACUGACGCUGAGGCGCGAAAGCCAGGGGAGCAAACAGGAUUAGAUACCCACGUAGUCCCUGAGCGGGCUGGCAAGGCGCAU
Molecule: ribosomal RNA, 447 nt
Filed under: uncultured bacterium
Lineage: Bacteria
Description: bacterial SSU rRNA
Rfam family: Bacterial small subunit ribosomal RNA
Source: RNAcentral